GAUGAACGCUGGCGGCGUGCCUAAUACAUGCAAGUCGAGCGAACAGACGAGGAGCUUGCUCCUCUGACGUUAGCGGCGGACGGGUGAGUAACACGUGGAUAACCUACCUAUAAGACUGGGAUAACUUCGGGAAGCCGGAGCUAAUACCGGAUAAUAUAUUGAACCGCAUGGUUCAAUAGUGAAAGACGGUUUUGCUGUCACUUAUAGAUGGAUCCGCGCCGCUUUAGCUAGUUGGUAAGGUAACGGCUUACCAAGGCGACGAUGCGUAGCCGACCUGAGAGGGUGAUCGGCCACACUGGACCUGAGACACGGUCCAGACUCCUACGGGAGGCAGCAGUAGGGAAUCUUCCGCAAUGGGCGAAAGCCUGACGGAGCAACGCCGCGUGAGUGAUGAAGGUCUUCGGAUCGUAAAACUCUGUUAUUAGGGAAGAACAAAUGUGUAAGUAACGAUGCACGUCUUGACGGUACCUAAGCAGAAAGCCACGGCUAACUACGU
RNAcentral lists this ribosomal RNA (496 nucleotides) under uncultured bacterium. RNAcentral's name for it is "partial 16S ribosomal RNA". It matches the Rfam family "Bacterial small subunit ribosomal RNA", at positions 28 to 506 of the family's 1533-position model. The record is from RNAcentral.